CGAGCGGACGAUGGGAGCUUGCUCCCUGAUGUUAGCGGCGGACGGGUGAGUACACGUGGGUACCUGCCUGUAAGACUGGGAUAACUCCGGGAACCGGGGCUAAUACCGGAUGGUUGUUUGAACCGCAUGGUUCAAACAUAAAAGGUGGCUUCGGCUACCACUUACAGAUGGACCCGCGGCGCAUUAGCUAGUUGGUGAGGUAACGGCUCACCAAGGCAACGAUGCGUAGCCGACCUGAGAGGGUGAUCGGCCACACUGGGACUGAGACACGGCCCAGACUCCUACGGGAGGCAGCAGUAGGGAAUCUUCCGCAAUGGACGAAAGUCUGACGGAGCAACGCCGCGUGAGUGAUGAAGGUUUUCGGAUCGUAAAGCUCUGUUGUUAGGGAAGAACAAGUACCGUUCGAAUAGGGCGGUACCUUGACGGUACCUAAC
Molecule: ribosomal RNA, 434 nt
Filed under: Bacillus subtilis
Lineage: Bacteria; Bacillati; Bacillota; Bacilli; Caryophanales; Bacillaceae
Description: bacterial SSU rRNA
Rfam family: Bacterial small subunit ribosomal RNA
Source: RNAcentral